This 86-nucleotide transfer RNA is filed under the name Caudoviricetes sp. RNAcentral describes it as "tRNA-Leu". It matches the Rfam family "tRNA". Rfam says of the family: Transfer RNA (tRNA) molecules are approximately 80 nucleotides in length. Their secondary structure includes four short double-helical elements and three loops (D, anti-codon, and T loops). The record is from RNAcentral. Lineage: Duplodnaviria; Heunggongvirae; Uroviricota; Caudoviricetes.
CCGGGUAUGGUGGAAAUAGGUAGACAUGUUGGAUUUAGGUUCCAAUGGCAAACGCUGUGGGGGUUCAAAUCCCCCUACCCGGACCA